Molecule: transfer RNA, 70 nt
Filed under: Microcerotermes sp. F TB-2017
Lineage: Eukaryota; Metazoa; Arthropoda; Insecta; Blattodea; Termitidae
Description: tRNA-Phe
Source: RNAcentral
ACUUGAAUAGCUUAUAUUUAGAGCACGACACUGAAGAUGUCGAUGAGGCAUUAUUUGUUGCCUUCGAGUA